UGUCUUUACUUUGCCCUUAAGCUCUCUCCUUCCAGCUCCAAAUGCCAAAAGCUGGUGACUAAGGAAGGCCCAGAAAUAGACCCGGGAAGUGGCUUAUAAAGCAGAGGAUCCAGCCCAGUCUUCUCAUCGCAAAGAGGACACCCUUGAGACCCAGAGAGGACCGGCCUUCCUGGAGUCAAUCUGGGGUCUCCGGAUGUCCGGCAGCAUCCCUCGGCCCUGCCCGCCCGCCAGGUCCAUCCCUCACGCCUCUGGCCCAAACAGAUCCCAUUCCAGCCCAAAGUCCAGUAACCCACCCGAAGGUCCAGAGAUGCUUACUCGGUAACUAACAGUGUGAGCUCUCCCUCGGGAACGUGACCCUGACUGAGGGCACCCAAGGGAGGGAGCUUUGGUCACUGAACUGGCAAACACAGUUCUUGUCUCUCUUCUUGGAAGGCCACGCCAUGCUGGGCUGCUGACUGUCAAGGACUGAUGGCCUGAGCUGGGCUCCCUUUGGGGCUUUUGGCGCCGCCUCUCCCAGAGGCCCUUCCUGAAGCUGCCUGAAGCAGGGUUGUUUCAGGACAGAAGAGCUCUCCCAGCGGCGAGCAUCCUGCUUGGCUUUUGGCCUACACCCAGGAGAAAAAGCCUGAAGGCUGCCUCCCUGGAGGGACGGUGGAGCUCCCUCCACCAUCGACCUGGCACUCUCCAUCCAGAAGCCCAAGAACUCUCCUCACUGGAAGCCCAGGCUCGGCAACACAGGCACGAGGAGAGCCAGGAGGCUCCUCCGCGAAUGAGGACUCUCUCGCCUUCAUUCAAAGAGCCUUUGCGAAGGGUUGACUAGAAGCCAAGGAUUGGGCCGGGUGCGGGAGACACAGGCAAGACCCAAGGGCUCCCCGUCCUCCCGAAGCUUUGAUUGUACUGGCUCGGGAGGGAGAAGCAGCAUGUACACAGAAGAGGAAAAAUGGCCUGUGUGCAAAACAGAGACGCUGAUCGCUGGAGAAUGGAGUGGGCAGCACUAAAAACUAGGGAAAUCCCAUAGUUCCAAGAGGACUCUGAACCAUGGGGCGCUACUCUAAGUUUGGAGGACUGAAUAGAUUUCUAGUGGGAAACUAGGCCUCACCAAAGGGUACAAGAGCUGUGUAUAUUGGGGUGCAACUAGGUGGCACAGAGAAUAAAGAGCUAUGCAAGGUCCUGGAUUCAAAUCUGACCUCAGACACUUCCUAGCUGUGUGACCCUGGGCAAGUCACUGAACUCCAAAAGUCUAGCCCUCACCACUCUUCUGCCUUGGAACCAUUACUUAGCAUUGAUUUUAAGAUGGAAAAGGAUUUAAACAAAAAGACAAAUUGAACCUAGCUGUGUGACCCUGGGUAAGUCAAUUAACCGGAAUUGACUCUUAUGACUCUUCUGCCUUGGAACCAAUAGACAGCAUUGAGUCUAAGAUGGAAGCAGUCGGUCAAGAUGCCCCGGAAUCCCCAGCAGCCCCAUUCCAGGAAAGAAGCCCUUAAGAAGCCCCAAGGUCUCCGAUGUCUACACUGCUAAGAGGAAAGGAGGAGGACCCCUGGGAUGUCAGCUUAAAGGUUGGUCUGAGUGUGUCGAUGAUCCGGCGCCCCCAGAUACUCCCUUCCUGUUCAGCCAGAGAGCUGGUGGCCACCCUGUCCUGGAUCUACAAGAUGGAGGCACAGGUGAAGCCGAGGACGACACCAGAUUUGGGCAGGCCACAGGAACAGAGAAUGACGGGCGAUCAGGAAGUUUUCCUCCUGGGAGACCGUCUGGUAAAAAUCCCCUUGCUGGAGGAAAAUCAUUGGCGUCCGAACCGGGGCUCUGCUUAGCCUGGUUCUGAUAGAGAUCUCCCUCCUGGACCGGACCUAAACCCCCAACCCCCAACCCCCAACCUUCCUUCUUCUUCCUUUAAAGAUCUGACUGCCACUGAAUAAACAACUAUUCAUUUGGGAUGGGAUAGCUAUGCUGGGGUUAGGGAAGAGGUUCAACAGGACUGAUGUUGGGUCCUUUCCGCUCAGGCCGACAGCCAAAGGGACCAGCUUGGAAGCUU
Molecule: long non-coding RNA, 2026 nt
Organism: Monodelphis domestica (gray short-tailed opossum)
Lineage: Eukaryota; Metazoa; Chordata; Mammalia; Didelphimorphia; Didelphidae
Source: RefSeq, a predicted model, not a curated record